Long non-coding RNA from Clupea harengus (Atlantic herring), 358 nucleotides. RefSeq lists it as uncharacterized. NCBI's taxonomy places the organism in Eukaryota, Metazoa, Chordata, Actinopteri, Clupeiformes, Clupeidae. The transcript is spliced from 3 exons. The record is from RefSeq and is a predicted model, not a curated record.
CUAUGAACAGACUUCUUUUUGCCUUUGACAAAGGAGACCUGGAACAGGCCAGGGAUUUACAGUUUAAGAUGCAGGCGAUAAUUCUGUUUGCAAUAAAGGAAGGGUUCAAUCUAGCUAUGAACAAGCAGAUAAUGUGUGAGCUCUCUGGAAUACCUCUGGGGCCCCCACGUCUCCCUCUCCUACCCUGUGAUGUGUCAAAAGCCUGUGCUGUUGCCCAGAAACUACGCUCCGUCCUGGGAGAACAAUAACUGCUUGAUGACCGCAUUCCCAGGGAUUCCAGAAUGCCAGUAAACUCCGCUUGAUCUGUUUUGUUGAUUGAAAAUAGAGUAUGUGUUUGUACUUUGCUUUUGUUUUGUAC